CAGUCGCCGCGGGAAUACAGAGGGUGCUAGCGUUGUCCGGAAUCAUUGGGCGUAAAGCGCGCGUAGGUGGCCAUUUAAGUCCGCUGUGAAAGUCAAAGGCUCAACCUUUGAAAGCCGGUGGAUACUGGAUGGCUAGAGUACGGAAGAGGCGAGUGGAAUUCCUGGUGUAGCGGUGGAAUGCGCAGAUAUCAGGAGGAACACCAAUAGCGAAGGCAGCUCGCUGGGACGUUACUGACACUAAGGCGCGGAAGCGUGGGGAGCGAACAGGAUUAGAUACCCGAGUAGUCCCUGUCUCUUAUAC
RNAcentral lists this ribosomal RNA (301 nucleotides) under uncultured bacterium. Its description in RNAcentral is "partial 16S ribosomal RNA". It matches the Rfam family "Bacterial small subunit ribosomal RNA", at positions 509 to 807 of the family's 1533-position model. The record is from RNAcentral.